GGGCCGUUAGCUCAGCUGGUAGAGCAGUACACUUUUAAUGUACGGGUCGCUGGUUCGAAUCCAGCACGGCUCACCA
Molecule: transfer RNA, 76 nt
Filed under: Deltaproteobacteria bacterium
Lineage: Bacteria; Pseudomonadati; Myxococcota; Myxococcia
Description: tRNA-Lys
Rfam family: tRNA
About the family: Transfer RNA (tRNA) molecules are approximately 80 nucleotides in length. Their secondary structure includes four short double-helical elements and three loops (D, anti-codon, and T loops). Further hydrogen bonds mediate the characteristic L-shaped molecular structure. tRNAs have two regions of fundamental functional importance: the anti-codon, which is responsible for specific mRNA codon recognition, and the 3' end, to which the tRNAs corresponding amino acid is attached (by aminoacyl-tRNA synthetases). tRNAs cope with the degeneracy of the genetic code in two manners: having more than one tRNA (with a specific anti-codon) for a particular amino acid; and 'wobble' base-pairing, i.e. permitting non-standard base-pairing at the 3rd anti-codon position.
Source: RNAcentral